CCUAUGGGAGGCUGCAGUGGGGAAUAUUGGACAAUGGGCGAAAGCCUGAUCCAGCCAUGCCGCGUGUGUGAAGAAGGCCUUCGGGUUGUAAAGCACUUUCAGUGGGGAAGAAAGCCUUGGGGCUAAUACCCUCGAGGAAGGACAUCACCCACAGAAGAAGCACCGGCUAACUCCGUGCCAGCAGCCGCGGUAAUACGGAGGGUGCGAGCGUUAAUCGGAAUUACUGGGCGUAAAGCGCGCGUAGGCGGUCUGAUAAGCCGGUUGUGAAAGCCCCGGGCUCAACCUGGGAACGGCAUCCGGAACUGUCAGGCUAGAGUGCAGGAGAGGAAGGUAGAAUUCCCGGUGUAGCGGUGAAAUGCGUAGAGAUCGGGAGGAAUACCAGUGGCGAAGGCGGCCUUCUGGACUGACACUGACGCUGAGGUGCGAAAGCGUGGGUAGCAAACAGGAUUAGAUACCCGAGUAGUC
RNAcentral lists this ribosomal RNA (465 nucleotides) under Vreelandella stevensii. Its description in RNAcentral is "partial 16S ribosomal RNA". It matches the Rfam family "Bacterial small subunit ribosomal RNA", at positions 338 to 795 of the family's 1533-position model. The record is from RNAcentral. Lineage: Bacteria; Pseudomonadati; Pseudomonadota; Gammaproteobacteria; Oceanospirillales; Halomonadaceae.